This 2136-nucleotide long non-coding RNA is filed under the name Homo sapiens (human). Its description in RNAcentral is "non-protein coding lnc-MRPL33-1:7". The record is from RNAcentral. Lineage: Eukaryota; Metazoa; Chordata; Mammalia; Primates; Hominidae.
CGGAUCCACUCCUCUCCCACACUCCCUCACCUCCCCCCUCCCUCCCCCUGCCCACGCCCCACAUACCUGGGCUCCUGCCCCUUCCACCCCUCUCUGCUCCCUCCCUGCCCCCUUCCCUUCCUCCCCUCCCCUUUAUCUCACCUUCACCCCCUUUCCUCCUACACCCCUUCCGUGUCCCCACCCCCUGCCCUCAGUCCUCCUUCCUCCUCUUCCCCACAUCCCACCUCUCCUUUCCCCCUCCUUGUAGGCCCUCUUUCUCCUCAGCCCCCCUCCCCCCGCCUUUAGUCUCCUACCUCCCCUACAGCCUCCUGCCCCCGCCUCCUCACAGCCCCCUACUUACCCUACUGCCUCCCUCCUGGGGCCCUUUCCUCCCCAAGGGCCCCUCUGUUUUCUCCCAUUCCAGCCCCUGACCAGGCCCUGCUCCUCUGCUGGGGUCGGCCCCGCACAGUAAGCUGCCUGGGAGCCCUCAUUGCCUUCCUGGGCAACCCGGCCAAAGGCCCCCCGAGCAGCUGCAGCCCUGGAGGUCAGCCUCACCCUGGCAGACCGCAGGGGCCCCUCCUCACCGCCGACCUCUGCACCUUCACCCGUUUGCCUGGUGUCUGAGGAAGGGCCCGCAGGAAGAGCAUUCCUUUCCCAGGGUCUUCCUCAGGAGGGAUGAGAGGAAGCAAAAGCUUGGUCUGCAAACGGGCUGGUCCUCCCGACGGCCACAUCCGCAGGAAUGACCCUCAGAGGGGCUCCCCAACUGGCUGGGAGAUUCGUCCAGCUGGGCGCUCUGCUACACAGCCCCGUCAAGGGCAAACAGAUGACAAAACUGAGACACAAAAGAUGAAUCAGCUUGGCAGUGUUCACAGAGCCAGCGUGUGGAAAAGCCAGAAUCCAGACCCAGACCCGAACUGCAGCGUCCCGGCUCUUACCCCUAACCAGCCAGUGCCUCUCAGCUUAGUGCUCUUCCACCCGGCUUUUCUUUCUAAAAACCUCAUAGGUCGCUGUGGGGAUGGGGCCACGACGGAAGAGAAGGUGGUAAAAAGGGCGAGUUGCCUAAGCACCCUCUUUUUUUUCCCUCCCUUCUCCCCAUCCCAUGAUGGAGCAUUCUGCGCCAAAAGCCAGCUUUCACUCUGCAGGGCAACGUGGAGAGGGAUGAAAAGCCUAGACCCCUUAGCACGGUCACCUGAACACAAGCUGAGUGUGGCGUAUCAAGUGGAAGCCCAGGAGGGAAGAGCCAGUGGCACAGUUAUCUCCCACCACCCGACAUGCUCCGGCCGCCAGCUCUGGUCUGACCGACGCUUCGGAUGAAGAACUCCAAGCAGCCCCCUAUUCGUACUGUUUUCCUCAGUGAACUCCCAGGGAUCACCUGCUUUUUAUGUGUGACGAAUGUGGUCAGUUUUGUUUGCUUUUGACAGCUCAUUAUGGGUCCAUGAGGUCAGAGUCCUGGCUGAAAGGCCAGAAGUUUAGGGAGCCUAUCUCCAGCUGAUACUCGCUUGCUUCUUGACCAUCUUUGGGCUUCUGUUCUUUCCCAGUAGCAUAAAGCUUGUAUGAUUCUGACCUCUGGCACCUAUGCAUUAUUUAAUCAACAUUUAUUGGGGCUGUCUCCAUGCCAGGCAUGUGGUAGGCCCUAGUGGGGCAGGGGUAAAAAACCGCUGCAAUCCUGGCCUUUCAGGAACUCAGUCUAGAGGGAGAAAGAAAACACCUGAGGCCAGAGGGCUCUCUCUGAUCUGCUUCUUCUAUUUCAAGUCUGUGCUUUUAACUAUAUUGAAUUUCCCAGUUAUUAUAUCUUCUUAAUGAAUUGUUGAUUUUAUCAGUAUGGAAUGUCCAUCCCACUUUGACCCUUGUAAUGCCUUUUACCUUAAAUUCUAUUUUAUUCUGCCCAUCACUAGGGGACUAGUUGAAUCAGUUAUGGUAUAUCCUCACAAUGGAGUACUAUGCAGUUGUGAAAAAUAAUGAGGGCCAUCUUUACGUGCUGUUAUGGAGUGAUUUCCAGGAUAUAUAGUUAAGAUGGAAAAGUAGGAAGGAAAAAAUAUGUAUUGUAUGCUACUGUUUAAGAAAGACAAGUAUUCAUCUGUGUGUGCGUGUGUUUGCUUAUAUAUUAAAAUGCAGAAAAAUAUGACCAGGUGCGGUGGUUCACGCCUGUAAUCCCAG